UAUGUAUUUUGCUAUGGUCCUGUUCUACAGCUCUAGUUCGCACCCAUAUGGAAAUUUGUCUCAGUAAGUCUCAUUUAUCUUAAUCCAGGGGAAAAUAUUGUAGCUACUAUGGAAUCAUAAGCACAGCGAAACUAUAUAACAUAAGCCCCAUAUGUCAGAGGCUUAGUGGCCAAAGUAAGUGCCAGCAGCCGCGGUCAUACUUAGUCUAAGAUUUUAGAACUAAACAGAGUACAAGUAAAAAGUUCUAUUAUUUUCUUUUAAUGGGGCCUUGAUUGGUGAAAUAAUAAGUGCCUCCAUUAUACUAAUAAAGAUUUUUAAUUAUUUUUCUUAGUUACUUCAACCUCCUGCAAUAAACUAGGAUUAGAGACCCUAUUAUAAGGAGACGAACUGAUUAACUCUUAGUAAUACUACUUUUUGGGUUUAAACUAAAACAGCAUGGCGGCAGAAGCUACUUUUCAGGGGAACUUACGGGAUAAUUGAUAAUCCUCAAGCUAAUAAUACCUUUAACAACAGUUUGUAUGCCGUCGUCUUCAGGUCUUUUUUUAUUAAAAAGCCAAAAUCUUUUAAUUACUACAUUUGCUAAAAGAAAAAGUCAGAUCAAGGUGCAGCCUAUUUAAAGGACCUCCGCGAGUUACAAUAAUGCAUAAUAUUACUUUGAACGCUUCACAUAAACAUGUAAGCCAAAACUGGACUUGAAAGUAACAAUCACAUGUCUUAUAAACUUUGAAUAAUUUUUCUUUUGUGUACAAAUCGCCCGUCACUCUCGAGACAACUUGAGAUAAGUCGUAACACAGUAGGGGUAAAGGAAUUUGCUCCUAC
Molecule: non-coding RNA, 819 nt
Filed under: Cerion tridentatum costellata
Lineage: Eukaryota; Metazoa; Mollusca; Gastropoda; Stylommatophora; Cerionidae
Source: RNAcentral